This 407-nucleotide ribosomal RNA is filed under the name uncultured bacterium. RNAcentral's name for it is "partial 16S ribosomal RNA". It matches the Rfam family "Bacterial small subunit ribosomal RNA", at positions 28 to 526 of the family's 1533-position model. The record is from RNAcentral.
GACGAACGCUGGCGGCGUGCCUAACACAUGCAAGUCGAGCGGAGCGGCGGACGGGUGAGUAAUGCCUAGGAAUCUGCCUGGUAGUGGGGGAUAACGUCCGGAAACGGGCGCUAAUACCGCAUACUAUCAGAUGAGACUAGGUCGGAUUAGCUAGUUGGUGGGGUAAAGGCCUACCAAGGCGACGAUCCGUAACUGGUAUGAGAGGAUGAUCAGUCACUGUGGAAAUGAGACACGAUCCAGACUCCAACGGGAGGCAGCGUUGGGUAAUAGUUGACAAUGGGCGAAAGCCGGAUCCAGCCAUGCCGAGUGUGUGAAGAAGGUCUUCGGAUUUGAAAGCACUUUAAGUUGGGAGGCGUUACCAACAGAAUAAGCACCGGCUAACUUCGUGCCAGCAGCCGCGGUAAUUC